This 429-nucleotide ribosomal RNA is filed under the name uncultured archaeon. RNAcentral's name for it is "bacterial SSU rRNA". It matches the Rfam family "Archaeal small subunit ribosomal RNA", at positions 474 to 903 of the family's 1478-position model. The record is from RNAcentral.
UACCAGCUCUUCGAGUGGUGUGGAUGUUUAUUGGGCCUAAAGCAUCCGUAGCUGGCUGGGCAAGUCCCCUGUUAAAUCCACCGAUUUAAUCGUUGGAGUGCGGGGGAUACUGUUCGGCUAGGGGACGGGAGAGGCAGACGGUAUUUUCGGGGUAGGGGUGAAAUCCUAUAAUCCCGGGAAGACCACCAGUGGCGAAGGCUGUCUGCCAGAACGCGCCCGACGGUGAGGGAUGAAAGCUGGGGGAGCGAACCGGAUUAGAUACCCGGGUAGUCCCAGCUGUAAACGAUGCAGGCUAGGUGUUUGGGCGGCCACGUGCCGCUCUAGUGCCGCAGGGAAGCCGUUAAGCCUGCCGCCUGGGGAGUACGGCCGCAAGGCUGAAACUUAAAGGAAUUGGCGGGGGAGCACCACAAGGGGUGAAGCUUGCGGUUU